Molecule: ribosomal RNA, 1341 nt
Filed under: uncultured bacterium
Lineage: Bacteria
Description: 16S ribosomal RNA
Rfam family: Bacterial small subunit ribosomal RNA
Source: RNAcentral
GACGAACGCUGGCGGCGUGCUUAACACAUGCAAGUCGAACGGUAAGGCUCCAGCUUGCUGGGGUACACGAGUGGCGAACGGGUGAGUAACACGUGGGUGACCUGCCCUGCACUUCGGGAUAAGCCUGGGAAACUGGGUCUAAUACCGGAUAGGACCGCACCGUGAGGGUGUGGUGGAAAGUUUUUUCGGUGUGGGAUGGGCCCGCGGCCUAUCAGCUUGUUGGUGGGGUAAUGGCCUACCAAGGCGGCGACGGGUAGCCGGCCUGAGAGGGUGGACGGCCACAUUGGGACUGAGACACGGCCCAGACUCCUACGGGAGGCAGCAGUGGGGAAUAUUGCACAAUGGGCGGAAGCCUGAUGCAGCGACGCCGCGUGGGGGAUGACGGCCUUCGGGUUGUAAACUCCUUUCACCAUCGACGAAGGGUUUCUGACGGUAGAUGGAGAAGAAGCACCGGCUAACUACGUGCCAGCAGCCGCGGUAAUACGUAGGGUGCGAGCGUUGUCCGGAAUUACUGGGCGUAAAGAGCUCGUAGGUGGUUUGUCGCGUCGUCUGUGAAAUUCCGGGGCUUAACUCCGGGCGUGCAGGCGAUACGGGCAUAACUUGAGUACUGUAGGGGAGACUGGAAUUCCUGGUGUAGCGGUGAAAUGCGCAGAUAUCAGGAGGAGCACCGGUGGCGAAGGCGGGUCUCUGGGCAGUAACUGACGCUGAGGAGCGAAAGCAUGGGGAGCGAACAGGAUUAGAUACCCUGGUAGUCCAUGCCGUAAACGGUGGGCGCUAGGUGUGGGUUUCCUUCCACGGGAUCCGUGCCGUAGCUAACGCAUUAAGCGCCCCGCCUGGGGAGUACGGCCGCAAGGCUAAAACUCAAAGGAAUUGACGGGGGCCCGCACAAGCGGCGGAGCAUGUGGAUUAAUUCGAUGCAACGCGAAGAACCUUACCUGGGCUUGACAUAUACAGGAUCGCGCCAGAGAUGGUGUUUCCCUUGUGGCUUGUAUACAGGUGGUGCAUGGUUGUCGUCAGCUCGUGUCGUGAGAUGUUGGGUUAAGUCCCGCAACGAGCGCAACCCUUGUCUUAUGUUGCCAGCACGUUGUGGUGGGGACUCGUAAGAAACUGCCGGGGUUAACUCGGAGGAAGGUGGGGAUGACGUCAAAUCAUCAUGCCCCUUAUGUCCAGGGCUUCACACAUGCUACAAUGGUCGGUACAGUGGGUUGCCAGUCCGUGAGGGCGAGCUAAUCCCGCAAAGCCGGUCUCAGUUCGGAUCGGGGUCUGCAACUCGACCCCGUGAAGUCGGAGUCGCUAGUGAUCGCAGAUCAGCAACGCUGCGGUGAAUACGCUCCCGGGCCU